Molecule: RNA transcript, 3050 nt
Organism: Brassica napus (rape)
Lineage: Eukaryota; Viridiplantae; Streptophyta; Magnoliopsida; Brassicales; Brassicaceae
Gene name: type IV inositol polyphosphate 5-phosphatase 6
Exons: 11
Source: RefSeq, a predicted model, not a curated record
UCAAUAAUACCUAAUGAUUAUUAGAAAUAAAAGUUAGAAGAAAGAAUAAACUAGUCUCUCUCUCUCUCUCUCUGCACUUUAUUUUGUUCAAAAUCCGCUGCUGCUUUUACUUUGCCGUUUCGACGAGGACUAAUAAGAAGCUCUCUCACAGAAGCAAAACAAAAGAAGCUUGACUGACUCUCUUUCUCUCUUUCUCUCUUUCUCUCUCUAUGUAAGAAAUUCACUUUUACUUUCUCCCUCUAAAAUCUGCUCUCCUCAUUGUCUUGCCUCUGUCUUCUUCAAGAAUUGAUGUCUCUUCAACACUUUCUCUUAUUUUAAAGUACCCUCUCUCUCUCCCCUCCUCUCAAGAACCAAAAAAAAAAGCAAAAGCCCACCAUUUUGUUCAUUGCUUUGUCCCUGUGAGAUAAAAAGAGAGACUAAGAAUAUAAACUCAUCUCUUAGGUUCUAUUUUCCUAGCCUACUCUUGUUGAAGUUUCUGUCUGGUCCAUAGGGAGAAAAAAAACCACAGCUCCAGUCAAAUUUUGGCAGUGAUUCAUACAGAAGUCAAACUUUUAGGGAAACAUUUCCACAUUUUUAGCUUUGAUUAUGGAUGGGUUGAGUUUCUGUUGAAGUAGAACCACACACACACACACACACACUGGUAAAAGAAGCAAAAGAAGGAGUAACAAUGAGAGAAGACAAAUCCAAGACAAAUAAGCUGGCCUGGUCAAUGAAGAUGGUCAGGAAAUGGUUUAAUAUAAAAAGCAAAACAGAGGAGUUUCAAGCAGAUGUUCCUGCCCCUUCUGCUGGAGUUGAAGUAGAGCACAGAAGUAGCUUCUCAGCAGAGAAAGCUCCCAGCAUAAUCAAGAAGACCAAAACUGAGAAGCUCAGUAAGAACUGGGAGCAGCAAGCUCGGCAAAGGAGAAUGAAUUAUGAGAAUCCUAGGAUUGUUGAUGUCCAAAACUACAGCAUCUUUACUGCUACCUGGAACGUAGCUGGACGCUCUCCUCCUCCUGACUUAAACCUUGAUGAGUGGCUUCACUCUUCAGCUCCUGCAGAUAUAUAUGUCCUCGGAUUCCAAGAGAUUGUUCCUCUUAAUGCUGGCAACGUCCUUGGAGCCGAAGACAAUGGACCUGCUCAGAAAUGGCUCUCUCUUAUCCGCAAAACACUCAACAACCGACCAGGCACCAGCGGAGCCAGCGGUUACCACACGCCUUCCCCUGUCCCUGUCCCUAUGGCAGAGCUUGACGCUGACUUCUCCGGCUCCACAAGGCAGAAGAACUCCACCUUCUUCCACAGACGCUCUUUCCAAACCCCAAGCAGUACAUGGAACGAUCCUUCAGUCUCUCAGCCAGGUCUUGACCGCCGUUUCAGCGUCUGUGACCGUGUCUUCUUCAGCCACAGGCCGAGUGAUUUCGACCCGAGUUUCCGCGGUAGCAGCAGCAGCAGCAGCAGCAGCAGUCACAGGCCUAGUGAUUACUCAAGAAGGCCUAGUGAUUACUCAAGAAGACCUAGUGAUUAUUCAAGACCGAGUGAUUACUCUAAUAGACCAAGUGAUUACUACUCUAGACCGAGUGAUUACUCACGGCCGAGUGACUUCUCAAGGUCUUCUGAUGAUGAUAAUGUUACUGGUGACUCUCCAAGCACUGUCUUGUACUCGCCAGGCUCUACAGCAAACGAGAACGGGUAUAGGAUGCCGUGGAAUACUUCGCAGUAUUGUUUAGUUGCUAGCAAACAGAUGGUUGGUGUCUUCUUAACCAUUUGGGUGAAGAGUGAGUUAAGGGAACAUGUGAAGAACAUGAAGGUGUCUUGUGUUGGCAGAGGACUAAUGGGCUAUCUAGGGAAUAAGGGAUCGAUCUCAAUAAGCAUGUUGCUGCAUCAAACAAGCUUUUGCUUUGUUUGUACUCACUUGACUUCAGGACAAAAAGAAGGUGAUGAGCUGAAGAGAAACUCUGAUGUCAUGGAGAUACUUAAGAAAACAAGGUUUCCACGUGUCAAGAGCUUAGAGGAUGAGAAGUCCCCUGAGAAUAUCCUUCAGCAUGAUCGUGUAAUAUGGCUUGGUGAUUUGAAUUACCGGAUAGCACUGUCUUAUCGAUCUGCUAAAGCAUUAGUUGAGAUGCAGAACUGGAGAGCUUUGCUAGAAAACGACCAGUUAAGGAUAGAGCAGAAACGAGGACAUGUGUUCAAAGGAUGGAACGAAGGAAAGAUCUAUUUCCCACCAACGUACAAGUACUCAAGGAACUCAGAUAGAUACUCUGGAGAUGACUUGCAUCCCAAGGAGAAACGUCGCACUCCUGCUUGGUGUGAUAGGAUACUGUGGUACGGUGAAGGAUUGCAUCAGUUAUCAUAUGUAAGAGGAGAGUCAAGGUUCUCGGAUCAUAGACCGGUCUAUGGCAUUUUCUGUGCAGAGGUUGAGUCAGCUCAUAAUAGGUUAAAGAGAACAAUGAGUUGCUCCGCUUCACGUGUCCAAGCUGAAGAGCUCUUUCCUUAUUCCCGUGGAUACACCGAGCUCAGCUUCUUCUAGAAGUAAACACACGGUGAACAAAAGUGUUUUUGGAUCUUUGAAAGUGAUGGAGACAUUGCAUUGCCUCUUUAACUCAAUGGGAACAGGUUUGUCAAAAAAAAUAUCUUUUACAUUUACAGUUUCCGGUUUGAGUUUUAACUCAUUGGUUUCCGGUUAGUGUAAUUUCCAGUUUGUAGGUGUAGAAAGUGUUUCGUAAUUUUUGCCUCGGUUAACUAAUUUUCACGUACCGGCGGUUCUGUUGUCUAUCCGGUUCAUAGUUUUGAUGGUUUUUGCUAACUCUGGUGGAUUUGAAAAUUUACAGCUAAAUUAUAAGGCAAUCAACUAACUCAAUCAGAAACUGCCAAGUAGACAGAAGUUCAUAUUUAAAAUUUUCAUUCUUUUGAGUUAGCACAAGUAGGAUAAAUUAAAUUUUAUGUUCUUUGUUUUUAGUCAAUUCUAGUGUCCCUAUGGUAAUCAUAUUGUAAUGUUUAUUAUAUAAGGUUUAGGAAAAUACAAAGAAAAUGAUUUCCAUUUCUAUUUUAUGAAAAUUGACGAAAAGUUAAAGUGA